Molecule: microRNA precursor, 85 nt
Filed under: Nannospalax galili (Upper Galilee mountains blind mole rat)
Lineage: Eukaryota; Metazoa; Chordata; Mammalia; Rodentia; Spalacidae
Description: miRNA (ENSNGAG00000007939.1)
Rfam family: mir-92 microRNA precursor family
About the family: This family represents the microRNA precursor mir-92. Human miR-92 has two predicted hairpin precursor sequences: mir-92-1 on chromosome 13 and mir-92-2 on chromosome X. miR-92 has also been cloned from mouse embryonic stem cells.
Source: RNAcentral
UGCCCAUUCAUUCAUGGGCUGGGAUUUGUUGCAAUACUUGUGUUAUAUUAAAAGUAUUGCACUUGUCCCGGCCUGUGAAAGAAAG